This 1191-nucleotide ribosomal RNA is filed under the name Haptophyta environmental samples. Its description in RNAcentral is "SSU rRNA". It matches the Rfam family "Eukaryotic small subunit ribosomal RNA", at positions 427 to 1644 of the family's 1831-position model. The record is from RNAcentral. Lineage: Eukaryota; Haptophyta.
AGCAGGCGCGUAAAUUGCCCGAAUCCUGACACAGGGAGGUAGUGACAAGAAAUAACGAUACAGGGCUACAUCUAGUCCUUGUAAUUGGAAUGAGUACAAUUUACAUCUCUUAACGAUGAUCAAUUGGGGGGCAAGUCUGGUGCCAGCAGCCGCGGUAAUUCCAGCUCCAAUAGCGUAUAUUAGAGUUGUUGCAGUUAGAACGCUCGUAGUCGGAUUUCGGAGCGUUCCGACCGGUCUGCCGAUGAGUAUGCACUGGCCGGAGUGUCCUUCUGCCGGAGACCGUGCCUACUCUUAACUAAGCGGGGGCGGGAGACGGCACUUUUACUUUGAAAAAAUCAGAGUGUUUCAAGCAGGCAGCUCGCUCUUGCAUGGAUUAGCAUGGGAUAAUGAAAUAGGACUUUGGUGCUAUUUUGUUGGUUUCGAACACCGAAGUAAUGAUGAGAAGGGACAGUCAGGGGCACUCGUAUUCCGCAGAGAGAGGUGAAAUUCUCAGACCCGCGGAAGACGAACCACUGCGAAAGCAUUUGCCAGGGAUGUUUUCACUGAUCAAGAACGAAAGUUAGGGGAUCGAAGAUGAUCAGAUACCGUCGUAGUCUUAACCAUAAACCAUGCCGACUAGGGAUUGGAGGAUGUUCACUGAUUGACUCCUUCAGCACCUUACGGGAAACUAAAGUCUUUGGGUUCCGGGGGGAGUAUGGUCGCAAGGCUGAAACUUAAAGGAAUUGACGGAAGGGCACCACCAGGUGUGGAGCCUGCGGCUUAAUUUGACUCAACACGGGGAAACUUACCAGGUCCAGACAUUGUGAGGAUUGACAGAUUGAGAGCUCUUUCAUGAUUUAAUGGGUGGUGGUGCAUGGCCGUUCUUAGUUGGUGGAGUGAUUUGUCUGAUUAAUUCCGUUAACGAACGAGACCUUAGCCUGCUAAAUAGUGACGCGAACUCUUUGUUGGCGGUCCACUUCUUAGAGGGACAACUUGUCUUCAACAAGUGGAAGUUUGAGGCAAUAACAGGUCUGUGAUGCCCUUAGAUGUUCUGGGCCGCACGCGCGCUACACUGAUGCACUCAACGAGUCUCCACCUUGACCGAGAGGUCCGGGAAACCUUCGAACUUGCAUCGUGAUGGGGAUAGAUUAUUGCAACUAUUAAUCUUCAACGAGGAAUACCUAGUAGGCGCAUGUCAUCAGCGUACGUUGA